This 253-nucleotide ribosomal RNA is filed under the name uncultured bacterium. Its description in RNAcentral is "partial 16S ribosomal RNA". It matches the Rfam family "Bacterial small subunit ribosomal RNA", at positions 524 to 776 of the family's 1533-position model. The record is from RNAcentral.
UACGGGGGGGGCAAGCGUUGUUCGGAAUUACUGGGCGUAAAGGGCUCGUAGGUGGCCAACUAAGUCAGACGUGAAAUCCCUCGGCUUAACCGGGGAACUGCGUCUGAUACUGGAUGGCUUGAGUUUGGGAGAGGGACGCAGAAUUCCAGGUGUAGCGGUGAAAUGCGUAGAUAUCUGGAGGAAUACCGGUGGCGAAGGCGGCAUCCUGGACCGACAUUGACGCUGAACGGCGAAAGCUAGGGGAGCAAACGGG